ACGAACGCUGGCGGCGUGCUUAACACAUGCAAGUCGAACGGAAAGGCCCUGCUUGCAGGGUACUCGAGUGGCGAACGGGUGCGUAACACGUGGGUGAUCUGCCCUGCACUUCGGGAUAAGCCUGGGAAACUGGGUCUAAUACCGGAUAGGAGCCAUUUUUAGUGUGAUGGUUGGAAAGUUUUUUCGGUGUAGGAUGAGCUCGCGGCCUAUCAGCUUGUUGGUGGGGUAAUGGCCUACCAAGGCGGCGACGGGUAGCCGGCCUGAGAGGGUGGACGGCCACAUUGGGACUGAGAUACGGCCCAGACUCCUACGGGAGGCAGCAGUGGGGAAUAUUGCACAAUGGGCGCAAGCCUGAUGCAGCGACGCCGCGUGGGGGAUGACGGCCUUCGGGUUGUAAACUCCUUUCGCUAGGGACGAAGCUUUUUGUGACGGUACCUAGAUAAGAAGCACCGGCUAACUACGUG
RNAcentral lists this ribosomal RNA (464 nucleotides) under uncultured bacterium. RNAcentral describes it as "partial 16S ribosomal RNA". It matches the Rfam family "Bacterial small subunit ribosomal RNA", at positions 29 to 507 of the family's 1533-position model. The record is from RNAcentral.